UGGACACCUGCUGGCCACCAGGAGGAACUGCAAGUCUCCUCUGGUCCGCGGUUCUCCCUUAUCUGCCAUCACUUUCAUCUCCUCGCACCGACCUUGACUUUGGAUCCGUCGCCUCUGACCCUUCCCCUUUGGGGUCUGCUUCCCCAAAUCUGUACAUUGACCCUUCUGUACCUUGUACCUUUCGUGUUGACUUUGGCUUGGGUCAUCCCCAGGGUCGCAGAGGAAUCCUCUGUCCCAGCGGAUGCAGACUCACUGUCCUUCCUAGGAGCUCCGUCCAUCAGGAAUCCAGGGGUUGAACUCAGGACCUUGCAUAUUUCAGGCAGGCACCGGCACCACCGAGCUAAAUCCCUGGCAGUUCAGACUGAUUUUGAGCUCAUCGUGUAGCCCACCCCAGGCUGGCCUCAAACUCGAAGCAGUCCUCCUGCCUCUGCCUCCUACGUGCUGGGAUUACAGUUCUGCUGUGACCCUGAAACUCUGACACAGUAAGAAAGAGAUGAACUAGCAAGUCAUGAAAACACACAGAAGAACCUUAAGUCUGUAUCAUGAAGUGAAAGGAACUUCGAGGCUCGUGUGUUGGAAGCUUUAGACCCAUGUGGGCUUUCAGGAGAGGGGCCUAGGAGCUGCCGCCCACAGUGGGUUAGUGCUGCUGUCCUGGAGCAGGGUCCUUGCCAGGUGAUCCAUUUAGCUCCCACUCGCCUUCUCUGCUCAUCUACCACGAGAUGCCAUAGAGCAGCAAGAAGGCCCUUGCCAGAUGCCAACCCUUCUAGCUGCUUCCUAGCCACUAGAAGUACAAGACUGUAAACUUCUGUGUAUCAUAAAUUCCUUCGUCUGAUACCUGUAAUCCCUUGGGAGGCUGAGGCAGGCAGAUCGACACAAGUUUGAGGCCAACCUGGACUACAUAGUGAAUUCAAGGCCAGCCCAAAUGACAUAGUGAGAUCUUGUCUCAAAAAAAUAAAAUAAAUUAUGGCAGCGUGACACAGACUAAGACAGAUGCCAAUCUGAAAAGGUUACAGACUACAUAAUUCUGUGAUGUUCUGGAAAAGGCAAAACUAUGGAGACAAUCGAAAGAUCAGUGGUUUCCAGGAGUUGAGCAGAGGGCAGGAUGAACUGUAGAGCAGAGACAAUUUUUAGGAAGGUGAAACUAUUCUGGCUGCUGCUGUCAUGGAAGAUACACGUUGUUACACGUGUGUGGAAAUCCAUGGGACACGCGUCACUGGCAGGGGGCCCUUAGGGUAACAAGGUGCUAGUGUAGGUUCAGCAGUGGUAACGAAUGUACCCUGGUGGGUCAGGAUGGGGAGGGAUGGGGCACGGACAUAUGGG
Molecule: long non-coding RNA, 1320 nt
Filed under: Heterocephalus glaber (naked mole-rat)
Lineage: Eukaryota; Metazoa; Chordata; Mammalia; Rodentia; Bathyergidae
Description: lncRNA (ENSHGLG00000040947.1)
Source: RNAcentral